GAGAAUCCCGCAGAUAUGUUGACCAAGGUGGUACCAAGGAACAAGUUCGAGCUAUGCAAAGAACUUGUCGGCAUGCACUCAAACUAGAAGACAGUGCUACCUCCUCUGGAUGAAUGAGACUGGAGGGGGAGAUUGAUGAUGUCCAUCUCAUUGAAGAAGUAUUAGGCAUGUGCCUAAUAAGAGUUUUCUUUGGUUUGGUAGCCAACCUAGUUGACUUGGUUUGGUUGGUAGCCAACCUUGUUGAAUUAGUUUGAUUUGGUAGCCAACCUUGUUGAAUUUCUUUGGUUUGGUAGCCAACUUUGUUGAAUUGUGAAAAGUGUGUGUAAAUUGUCAAAUAUUGUAGGCUUUAGAGGAUGAAGCUUUGGCUAUAAAAGGAGAGCUUCAACUCUCAUUUCUUCACACCAACAAAGAGAGAAAGAAAGAGUGAGGUUUCACAGACAAGGUAUAAGAAAAUAGUCUGUGAGGAAAAUAGAGAGUGAGCGAUAUUGUAGUGAGGUGGGAAUAUCAAAAGAGG
This 514-nucleotide long non-coding RNA is filed under the name Nicotiana tabacum (common tobacco). RNAcentral's name for it is "long non-coding RNA (NTAB_LNC003686)". Lineage: Eukaryota; Viridiplantae; Streptophyta; Magnoliopsida; Solanales; Solanaceae. The record is from RNAcentral.